Non-coding RNA from Oryzias melastigma (Indian medaka), 522 nucleotides. NCBI's taxonomy places the organism in Eukaryota, Metazoa, Chordata, Actinopteri, Beloniformes, Adrianichthyidae. The record is from the annotation of a RefSeq genome assembly.
GCCAUUCUGACUCCGCCCCUUUGCAGCUGCACAUGAAGCCGCUCUGGUCAGAUUGUAAUCAGAGUUUGGAGGCUCGGCUUCACCACCAACUUAUAAAGAUCAGAACAGUUCUGCCUCAGCGAUGGGUCUCCUUCUGCUCCUGCUGUCGGUCCUGAACUUGUGGCUUCGAGGGUUUUGUCAAGAUGUGAUCCAGAAUCCAGAGAUCCGCUGGAGUUCUGCCUCUCGGUCUGCAGAGAUGACCUGCAGACACACCAAAGACAAAGGUCACAACCAGAUGUACUGGUUCAGGCAGCGUCCGGGCGAGGCCAUGACCCUCGUGGCGUACAUCGCGUUUGGCGGGACGCCGGACUACGGCGGGGGCCCUCAAACCAAAUUUUCGGUCGUCAAAGAGAGCAUUGAGGAGGGGGCUCUGACCGUGAAGGACCUGCAGCCCGACGACGCCGGUCGGUACUUCUGCGCCGUCAGCAAACACAGUGAUGCGAGGAGUCAGAGAGGCUGAACAAAAACUCAGGUGAGCCCCUC